AAAGAAUAGCUAUGAUGAAAAGUAUUGCUUUUACAAUGCAGUGAUGUCUGUUAAACUCAGACUUCUUUUAUA
RNAcentral lists this transfer RNA (72 nucleotides) under Ophiura albida. RNAcentral's name for it is "transfer RNA-Val". It matches the Rfam family "tRNA". From Rfam's summary of the family: Transfer RNA (tRNA) molecules are approximately 80 nucleotides in length. Their secondary structure includes four short double-helical elements and three loops (D, anti-codon, and T loops). Lineage: Eukaryota; Metazoa; Echinodermata; Ophiuroidea; Amphilepidida; Ophiuridae. The record is from RNAcentral.